This 332-nucleotide ribosomal RNA is filed under the name uncultured eukaryote. RNAcentral describes it as "partial 18S ribosomal RNA". It matches the Rfam family "Eukaryotic small subunit ribosomal RNA", at positions 1470 to 1796 of the family's 1831-position model. The record is from RNAcentral.
CCCUUAGAUGUUCUGGGCCGCACGCGCGCUACACUGUUCGACGCAGCGAGUCUUAACCUUGACCGAAAGGUUUGGGUAAUCUUCAGCAAAGUCGAACGUGAUGGGGAUCGAUCAUUGCAAUUAUUGAUCGUGAACGAGGAAUUCCUAGUAAGUGCAAGUCAUCAGCUUGCGCUGAUUACGUCCCUGCCCUUUGUACACACCGCCCGUCGCUACUACCGAUCGAAUGGUUUAGUGAGAUCUCUGGAUUGACGCUGGCUAGGGGGCGACCCUUGGCCAGACUGCUCGAGAAACUGCUCAAACUUGAUCAUUUAGAGGAAGUAAAAGUCGUAACA